UCCUCACUUGUAUGUUAAUAACAUAAUUUACGUUGUUUCUUUUGCUUUGCUUUUCAGUCUCAUGGAUCUAUCCUGAGCUUUGGGAUCAGAGCCCUGAGUAUUGAGAGCCUAACCUGUGCCAGGUACCUGCUAGACACUGGGUGCAGAAUGCCUCAUAAAGCUGACAGAGCAGACUGUGAAACCUAUUCAUUGUGUGGCCUGUCCAAUGAAUUACAUUUGUUUCCAAGUUCUGAAAGAUGCUCUCAACAAGCACAAGCUGAGAAGACUGACACCGAGAGAAGUUGUGUGACCUGUCCAGUGUCUCAGAGCUAAUCCAAAGGAGAGCUGACACUGGAACCAAGGACUGCAUGACUCCUGAAACCAUACUCUCAAAUGCUGCAUUCCAUAUAAACAAUUCGCAUUGAAAAGUACUUGGCAAUUUACUAAUUGUGCAAGGUUUUUUAAAAUAAUAAAACUUAU
This is a non-coding RNA of Equus caballus (horse), 459 nucleotides long. The record is from RefSeq and is a predicted model, not a curated record. NCBI's taxonomy places the organism in Eukaryota, Metazoa, Chordata, Mammalia, Perissodactyla, Equidae.